AUUGAACGCUGGCGGCAUGCCUCACACAUGCAAGUCGAACGGUAACAGGGAGCUUGCUCCGCUGACGAGUGGCGAACGGGUGAGUAAUGUAUCGGAACGUACCUUUCAGUGGGGGAUAACGUAGCGAAAGUUACGCUAAUACCGCAUAUUCUCUGAGGAGGAAAGCAGGGGACCUUCGGGCCUUGCGCUGAUUGAGCGGCUGAUAUCAGAUUAGCUAGUUGGUGAGGUAAAGGCUCACCAAGGCGACGAUCUGUAGCGGGUCUGAGAGGAUGAUCCGCCACACUGGAACUGAGACACGGUCCAGACUCCUACGGGAGGCAGCAGUGGGGAAUUUUGGACAAUGGGGGCAACCCUGAUCCAGCCAUGCCGCGUGAGUGAAGAAGGCCUUCGGGUUGUAAAGCUCUUUCGGCCGGGAAAAAAUCGCAUGGGCUAAUACCCUGUGUGGAUGAUGGUACCGGAAUAAGAAGCACCGGCUAACUACGUGCCAGCCGCCGCGGUAA
RNAcentral lists this ribosomal RNA (500 nucleotides) under uncultured bacterium. RNAcentral describes it as "partial 16S ribosomal RNA". It matches the Rfam family "Bacterial small subunit ribosomal RNA", at positions 30 to 523 of the family's 1533-position model. The record is from RNAcentral.